GCGACCCCAGGUCAGGCAGGACUACCCGCUGAGUUUAAGCAUAUAAAUAAGCGGAGGAGAAGAAACUUACAAGGAUUCCCCUAGUAACGGCGAGCGAACCGGGAGCAGCCCAGCUUGAGAAUCGGGCGGCUGUGCCGUCCGAAUUGUAGUCUGGAGAGGCAUCCUCAGCGACGGACCGGGCCCAAGUCCCCUGGAAAGGGGCGCCUGGGAGGGUGAGAGCCCUGUCCGGCCCGGACCCUGUCGCCCCACGAGGCGCCGUCAAUGAGUCGGGUUGUUUGGGAAUGCAGCCCAAAUCGGGCGGUAGACUCCGUCCAAGGCUAAAUACAGGCGAGAGACCGAUAGCGAACAAGUACCGCGAGGGAAAGAUGAAAAGGACUUUGAAAAGAGAGUCAAAGAGUGCUUGAAAUUGCCGGGAGGGAAGCAGAUGGGGGCUGGCGAUGCGCCCCGGCCGUAUGCGGAACGGCUCUUGCUGGUCCGCCGCUCGGCUCGGGGUGUGGACUGUUGUCGGCCGCGCCGGCGGCCAAAGGCCGGGGGCCCUAGGUGCCCCCGGUGGCCGUCGUCGGCACGGCCGGUACCCGCGCGCCGAAAGGCGUGUCCCUCGGGGAACUGCGCUGCAACGGCCUGCGGGCUCCCCAUCCGACCCGUCUUGAAACACGGACCAAGGAGUAUGAUAUGCGUGCGAGUCGACGGGUUCUGAAACCUGGGAUGCGCAAGGAAGCUGACGAGCGGGAGGCCCUCACGGGCCGCACCGCUGGCCGACCCUGAUCUUCUGUGAAGGGUUCGAGUUGGAGCACGCCUGUCGGGACCCGAAAGAUGUUGAACUAUGCCUGAGCGGGGCGAAGCCAGAGGAAACUCUGGUGGAGGCUCGAAGCGAUACUGACGUGCAAAUCGUUCGUCUGACUUGGGUAUAGGGGCGAAAGACUAAUCGAACCAUCUAGUAGCUAGUUCCCUCCGAAGUUUCCCUCAGGAUAGCUGGAGCCCAUUACGAGUUCUAUCAGGUAAAGCCAAUGAUUAGAGGCAUUGGGGACGCAACAUCCUCGACCUAUUCUCAAACUUUAAAUAGGUAGGAUGGCGCGGCUGCUUCGGUGAGCCGUGCCAUGGAAUCGGGUGCUCCAAGUGGGCCAUUUUUGGUAAGCAGAACUGGCGAUGCGGGAUGAACCGGAAGCCGGGUUACGGUGCCCAACUGCGCGCUAACCUAGAACCCACAAAGGGUGUUGGUCGAUUAAGACAGCAGGACGGUGGUCAUGGAAGUCGAAAUCCGCUAAGGAGUGUGUAACAACUCACCUGCCGAAUCAACUAGCCCCAAAAAUGGAUGGCGCUGAAGCGCGCGACCCACACCCGGCCAUCUGGGCGAGCGCCAUGCCCCGAUGAGUAGGAGGGCGCGGCGGCCGCUGCAAAACCCGGGGCGCGAGCCCGGGCGGAGCGGCCGUCGGUGCAGAUCUUGGUGGUAGUAGCAAAUAUUCAAAUGAGAACUUUGAAGGCCGAAGAGGAGAAAGGUUCCAUGUGAACGACACUUGCACAUGGGUAAGCCGAUCCUAAGGGACGGGGUAACCCCGGCAGAUAGCACAUUCACGCGCAUCCCCCGAAAGGGAAUCGGGUUAAGAUUUCCCGAGCCGGGAUGUGGCGGUUGACGGCGACGAUAGGAAGUCCGGAGACGCCGGCGGGGGCCUCGGGAAGAGUUAUCUUUUCUGCUUAACGGCCUGCCAACCCUGGAAACGGUUCAGCCGGAGGUAGGGUCCAGUGGCCGGAAGAGCACCGCACGUCGCGUACACGGACCCGUACACGGACCCGUGAACGGGUACGAGAGUCCGGGAAAAAAUGGCCCAUACACCAUGCGAACCGGCUCAAAACUAGCUAAUGAUGGUCAACAAACGGUGCCAUGGCAGCGAAAACAUGUCUCAUGGCAAAAAAACGCUGCCACGGCAGCGUUUAAAAACAGUGUACCCCUCCUUCACAAACUAAGGGCAGGGGUCCCAAUGGGGGCUAAAACCCUCGGGUAUAGUAGGGAGGAGGGGUCCUUCCUGGUGGGCGUACGGAACACGGGUGAUUUUUCUUAGGGAAAACACCCGUGUUCACGUACGCCCAUCCUUUCCCAACGUUGCCUCGGAUGUCCCGUCGUUAUGCAAUCACGAAGGUGUUGGCCCGGCCCCGUGUAUGUCUCGUGAGAAAUUCUGACCCAACAGCCGAAGGUGGCUCGGGAAACAGGAAAGUACCCCGUUGCGUACACGAUCCGACCGACGGUAAACAGUCACAACGAUGUCCCUCCAAUGUCGCCUCCGGAAAAACGUUGCCCCUCGGUGGCAACGUCAUCGCUGUCCCGGUCCCCUGUACGUCUCAAGUGAAAUUCUGACCCAACAGCCGAAUGCGGCUCGGGAAACAGGAAAGUAGCCUGUUUCGUGCACGAUAAGACCGUCCGACAACGUUGCACCGAUGUCCCGAUAAAGUUGCCUUCGGAAAAUCGUUGCAUCCGUAGCUUUAUUGCUGCUGGUGUGACACGCGUGAUUUGGCCUUGCAGGACGCCUUCGUGCAAGUGAUCCUCCCGUGCUCUGCACGGGCGGAGGCUUGGUUGGUUUGACCGCUUGUUGGCUACUAAGCGCAUGAGUAGCUUUGGACCCGUGUCUGCCGGUAGAUCCCCCGUUGUACUGCGGCCGACUACCGGCGCCGUGUCCCGUCCCUCGUGUGGCUUCGAAUCGCUGGAUUAAGAGUGCUUGCGUGCUAGCACCUGACCUACGGGAAGUGGUGCUUCGGAUAAUUGUUGCCUCGCGGCGGACGCCCAUUGGGUGUGCCGCUGCGGCCAAAUAGCGCUUGCGGCGUGCCUCGUGGGGCUGGCACAUUACGUGCCCGUUGCUAUCAAGGCAACCUCGCUCCCGCUUUUGGUCUCGGAUGCUACUGACGAUAAAGGGUCGUGGCCCUUUCGGUUGCCUCGACCCGACCCAAAGCUCUCGGAACUGAGAACAACCGGAACAGGAGUUGCCUCUACCUCUCCACAGUUACGUGGUAGGAUACGCAACUCUCUGCGCCGAUCCUCAAGGAUGAUGAGCUGUGCCGCUCAAGAGCGACGACCGGCCCGGCUGUUGCCUCUGAGUUUCCACGGAAGUGGAAGCGCAGAACGAUGGCCGUGCUGGUAGUCACCAAGGACGUGCUACCUGGUUGAUCCUGCCAGUAGUCAUAUGCUUGUCUCAAAGAUUAAGCCAUGCAUGUGCAAGUAUGAACCAAUUUGAACUGUGAAACUGCGAAUGGCUCAUUAAAUCAGUUAUAGUUUGU
This 3264-nucleotide ribosomal RNA is filed under the name Triticum aestivum (bread wheat). RNAcentral's name for it is "eukaryotic LSU rRNA". The stretch from base 2 to 1876 matches the Rfam family "Eukaryotic large subunit ribosomal RNA". Lineage: Eukaryota; Viridiplantae; Streptophyta; Magnoliopsida; Poales; Poaceae. The record is from RNAcentral.